RNAcentral lists this small RNA (27 nucleotides) under Bombyx mori (domestic silkworm). Its description in RNAcentral is "ovarian small RNA-37116". Lineage: Eukaryota; Metazoa; Arthropoda; Insecta; Lepidoptera; Bombycidae. The record is from RNAcentral.
UUCCACCUGGAGGAAAUGGCUUUUACA